AAUCAAGUGCCAGAAGAGCAUUUGGUGGAUGCCUAGGCGCACACAGGCGAUGAAGGACGUGCUACGCUGCGAAAAGCUGCGGGGAGCUGCGAAUAAGCUUUGAUCCGUAGAUAUCCGAAUGGGGAAACCCACCAUAUAACAUAGAAAUGUUAGGAUAUUCUAUAUCUUAACAUUUCUAUGUUGUAAGGUAUUUAACUCUGAAUACAUAGGGGUUAAAAGCGAACCCAGGGAACUGAAACAUCUAAGUACCUGGAGGAAAGGAAAUCAACCGAGACUCCGCUAGUAGUGGCGAGCGAACGCGGAUCAGGCCAGUAAUAUAUAGUAAAAAACCAGAAUCAGCUGGAAAGCUGAGCCAUAGUAGGUGAUAGCCCCGUAUGGGUAAAAAAACUAUAUAUUCUCGAGUAGGGCGGGACACGUGAAAUCCUGUUCGAACGUGGGGGGACCACCCUCCAAGCCUAAGUACUCGUGUGCGACCGAUAGUGAACAAGUACCGUGAGGGAAAGGUGAAAAGUACCCCGACAAGGGGAGUGAAAUAGUAUCUGAAACCGAAUGCUUACAAACAGUCGGAGCUCAAGGUUUGUCCUGAGUGACGGCGUACCUUUUGUAUAAUGGGUCAACGACUUAAUUUAGCGAGCAAGCUUAAGCCGAUAGGUGUAGGCGUAGCGAAAGCGAGUCUUAAUAGGGCGUCAAGUUCGUUGGAUUAGACCCGAAACCGAGUGAUCUAGGUAUGGGCAGGCUGAAGGUGCGGUAACACGCACUGGAGGGCCGAACCCACGCAUGUUGAAAAAUGCGGGGAUGACCUGUGCCUAGGGGUGAAAGGCCAAUCAAACUCGGAAAUAGCUGGUUCUCCGCGAAAUCUAUUUAGGUAGAGCGUUGCGUGAUUACCGCCGGGGGUAGAGCACUGGAUGGGCUAGGGGGACCCAAAGUCUUACCAAACCUAACCAAACUCCGAAUACCGGUGAGUACAGCAUGGCAGACACACAUAGGGUGCUAAGGUCCUAUGUGGAAAGGGAAACAGCCCAGACCGCCAGCUAAGGUCCCUAAGUUAUGGCUAAGUGGGAAAGGAAGUGAGAAGGCCAAGACAACCAGGAGGUUGGCUUAGAAGCAGCCAUCCUUUAAAGAAAGCGUAACAGCUCACUGGUCUAAAUAAGCCGUCUCGCGCCG
Molecule: non-coding RNA, 1164 nt
Organism: Rhizobiales bacterium TMED25
Lineage: Bacteria; Pseudomonadati; Pseudomonadota; Alphaproteobacteria; Hyphomicrobiales
Source: Rfam